GACAGAGGGGGCAAGCGUUGCUCGGAAUUACUGGGCGUAAAGGGCGCGUAGGCGGGAUGGCAAGUCGGUCGUGAAAUCCUUCGGCUCAACCGAAGAACGUCGAUCGAUACUGCUGUUCUUGAGGGUUGCAGAGGAGGCUGGAAUUCCCGGUGUAGCGGUGAAAUGUGUAGAGAUCGGGAGGAACACCGGUGGCGAAGGCGGGUCUCUGGGCAAUUCCUGACGCUGAGGCGCGAAAGCGUGGGGAGCAAACGGG
Molecule: ribosomal RNA, 253 nt
Filed under: uncultured bacterium
Lineage: Bacteria
Description: partial 16S ribosomal RNA
Rfam family: Bacterial small subunit ribosomal RNA
Source: RNAcentral